UACGUAGGUUGCAAGCGUUGUCCGGAAUUAUUGGGCGUAAAGCGCGCGCAGGCGGUCCUUUAAGUCUGAUGUGAAAUCUCGCGGCUCAACCGCGAGCGGCCAUUGGAAACUGGGGAACUUGAGUGCAGGAGAGGGGAGCGGAAUUCCACGUGUAGCGGUGAAAUGCGUAGAGAUGUGGAGGAACACCAGUGGCGAAGGCGGCUCUCUGGCCUGUAACUGACGCUGAGGCGCGAAAGCGUGGGGAGCGAACAGG
Molecule: ribosomal RNA, 253 nt
Filed under: uncultured bacterium
Lineage: Bacteria
Description: partial 16S ribosomal RNA
Rfam family: Bacterial small subunit ribosomal RNA
Source: RNAcentral